GGGGGGGUCCCGGAUCAUGGCUCGGGACGAACGCUGGCGGCGUGCCUAAUACAUGCAAGUCGAGCGGAUCUUGAUGGAGCUUGCUCCAUUCAAGUCAGCGGCGGACGGGUGAGUAACACGUGGGCAACCUGCCCUGCAGAUUGGGAUAACUCCGGGAAACCGGGGCUAAUACCGAAUAACAUUGGAAACCUCAUGGUUUCCUUUUAAAAGGCGGCACUCGCUGUCACUGCAGGAUGGGCCCGCGGCGCAUUAGCUAGUUGGUGAGGUAACGGCUCACCAAGGCGACGAUGCGUAGCCGACCUGAGAGGGUGAUCGGCCACACUGGGACUGAGACACGGCCCAGACUCCUACGGGAGGCAGCAGUAGGGAAUCUUCCGCAAUGGACGAAAGUCUGACGGAGCAACGCCGCGUGAGUGAAGAAGGUUUUCGGAUCGUAAAACUCUGUUGUCAGGGAAGAACAAGUACGGGAGUAACUGCCCUGUGCCUUGACGGUACCUGGCCAGAAAGCCACGGCUAAUUACGUGCCAGCAGCCGCGGG
Molecule: ribosomal RNA, 538 nt
Filed under: uncultured Bacillota bacterium
Lineage: Bacteria; Bacillati; Bacillota
Description: bacterial SSU rRNA
Rfam family: Bacterial small subunit ribosomal RNA
Source: RNAcentral